RNAcentral lists this ribosomal RNA (463 nucleotides) under uncultured bacterium. Its description in RNAcentral is "partial 16S ribosomal RNA". It matches the Rfam family "Bacterial small subunit ribosomal RNA", at positions 339 to 795 of the family's 1533-position model. The record is from RNAcentral.
CUACGGGGCGCUGCAGCUAAGAAUAUUCCGCAAUGGACGAAAGUCUGACGGAGCGACGCCGCGUGGAUGAGGAAGGCCGAAAGGUUGUAAAGUCCUUUUGUCGAUGAAGAAUAAGUGUGGGAGGGAACGCCCGCAUGAUGACGUUAGUCGGCGAAUAAGCCCCGGCUAAUUACGUGCCAGCAGCCGCGGUAACACGUAAGGGGCAAGCGUUGUUCGGAAUUAUUGGGCGUAAAGGGUACGUAGGCGGUUUUGUAAGCCCGGCGUGAAAUCCUGCAGCUUAACUGUAGAGCUGCGCUGGGAACUGCGAAACUCGAGUCAUGGAAGGGAAGUUAGAAUUCCAGGUGUAGGGGUGAAAUCUGUAGAUAUCUGGAAGAAUACCGGUGGCGAAGGCGAACUUCUGGCCAAGACUGACGCUGAGGUACGAAAGUGCGGGGAGCAAACAGGAUUAGAUACCCGAGUAGUC